GCAGUGAGCGGGUACAGGUGUAAAGCAUAUCAUGCUGACGAGCUGGCGAACGGGUGAGUAAUGCUUUGGAAUCUUCCCAGUAGUGGGGAAUAACCAGUCGAAAGUAUUGGCUAAUAUCCGCAUAACGUCUGUAUUAGGUGGAAACGCGGGGGUCUCGUAAGAACUCGCGCUAUUGGAUUGAGCUCAAAUGUCGGAUUUAGGCUCAGUUCGGUGGGGUUAAUUGUGCCUACCAAGGCGACAAUCCGUAGCUGGUUCUUGAUGAGGACGACCAGCCACACCUGGAAUCUUGAGACACGGUCCGGACUCAUAACGGGAGGCAGCAGUGGGGAAUAUUUGGGACAAUGGGGGAAACCCUGAUCCAGCGACGCCGUCUGUGUGUGAACGAAGGCCUGCGGGUUGUAAAGCACUUUUAGUGGGUGACAAAAAGCUACGGAUUAAUACUCUGUGGUCUUGAUUUAACCCAUAGAAAAAGCACCGGCUAACUCUGUGCCAGCAGCCGGGUAAUACAGAGGGUGCGAGCGUUCAAUCGGAAUUACUGGGCGUAAAGCGCGCGUAACGGUUUUUGUAAUGUCAGAUGUGAAAUCCCUGGGUCAACUGGGAAACUGCAUUUGGAAACUGAUGGCUAGAGUAUCGAAGAGGGAAGUGGAAUUUCCGGUGUAGCGGUGAAAUU
Molecule: ribosomal RNA, 670 nt
Filed under: uncultured bacterium
Lineage: Bacteria
Description: bacterial SSU rRNA
Rfam family: Bacterial small subunit ribosomal RNA
Source: RNAcentral